RNAcentral lists this ribosomal RNA (654 nucleotides) under Triticum aestivum (bread wheat). RNAcentral describes it as "partial small subunit ribosomal RNA". The record is from RNAcentral. Lineage: Eukaryota; Viridiplantae; Streptophyta; Magnoliopsida; Poales; Poaceae.
AUGUCGUCCAGCGCCUCCGAGAUCGUGGCCGACACGACGCACGGGCGCCACCACCUGAAGAUCGACGGCUACUCGAUCACCAAGGCCACCCUGCCCACGGGGGAGUUCCUCAAGUCCCAGCCUUUCUCCGUCCAGUUCCGCUUUAAGGCGGAAAAGAACCAGGCGCUCUCCUUUCUCAAGAGCUGGGGCCGUAAGCCCGCGCCGCUGAAGCUCGGCAGGGUGGAGGCCGGCGAAGCUGGUGUCUGGGAGUGCCCGAAUUUCGUCAGGAGGAAGACCCUGGAGGAAUCGGACCAUCUCAAGGACGACUCGUUCACCAUCCGCUGCGAUAUCAUCGUCACGGCGGAAGAAGAGGAAUUCGCCAUGGCCCAGCAUCUGCUCGUGGCGGCGGACAAGUAUCGCAUGGAGAGGCUCAAGCUGAUCUGCGAGGACAAGCUGUGCAAGAACAUCGCGGCGGGCACGGCGGCGAGCAUCCUGGCGUUAGCUGAGGUGCACCACUGCCAUGAGCUCAAAGGUGCAUGCUUCCAUUUCCUCAGCUCUCCGAAGAACCUGACGGCAGCCAUGGCCGGCGACGACUUCGAGAAUCUGCGCUCAAGCUUCCCCUCUCUUGUCAAGGAGUUGAUUGCCACGUGCUCGAUCGAUGCCUCAGCUCAGUGA